RNAcentral lists this ribosomal RNA (565 nucleotides) under uncultured Glomeromycotina. Its description in RNAcentral is "partial large subunit ribosomal RNA". It matches the Rfam family "Eukaryotic large subunit ribosomal RNA", at positions 204 to 637 of the family's 3401-position model. Lineage: Eukaryota; Fungi; Glomeromycota. The record is from RNAcentral.
CAUGGAGGGUGAGAAUCCCGUCCGGUUGAUCAAUUGCGUAUGUGAUACGUUUUCAAAGAGUCAAGUUGUUUGGGAUUGCAGCUUAAAAUGGGAGGUAAAUUUCUCCUAAGGCUAAAUAUUGGUGAGAGACCGAUAGCGAACAAGUACCGUGAGGGAAAGAUGAAAAGCAUUUUGAAAAGAAAGUCAAAUAGCACGUGAAAUUGUUGAAAGGGAAACGAUUAAAGUCAGUCGUACCGAUGAGCAUUCAGCCUUUUGGGUGCGAUUAUGUGGUACAUGAAAAGAUUUCGUGAAUUGCAUAUUUGUGCCUUUUGGGUGUACUUGUUCGUAUGGUAGGUUAACAUCAAUUUCGGUCGUCAUAAAAUGGCGGGAGGAAUGUAGCUUCUCCGGAAGUGUUAUAGCCUCUGGUAGAUGUGACAACUGAGAUUGAGGAUUGCAACGAAUACCCUCUGGGCUACUUGUCUGGCCUCUGGUCGUCGCUUUGGUGCCGAAAGCGUGCUUAUGGUAUUAAAGUAGGUGGUCAAAAGGUUAGAACGGGUUAAAUUCGUUAAGGAUGUUGACGUAAUGG